Molecule: long non-coding RNA, 1077 nt
Filed under: Canis lupus familiaris (dog)
Lineage: Eukaryota; Metazoa; Chordata; Mammalia; Carnivora; Canidae
Description: lncRNA (ENSCAFG00000051292.1)
Source: RNAcentral
AUGCAGUUUGUGUUUAACCAGAGAAGGAGAGAGCUAAAGGAGUCCUGUCAUACUAUAACAGGGCCAGCUAAUUUUGAUUCAGUCUUUAUACAAGGGAUUUAUUACACUCCCAUUUUCUUAACAUUGAACAUAAAAUGUAACCAACAUCAAAUAAGUUGUCAGGUACUCAGAGUAAGGAGGGCAGCUCUUAUUCAAACAAGCACUCACGUUUUUAUUUUUCAUCGCAGGAAUGUGCUGGCUGCAAGCACACAGGGAGUGAUGAGUCCAAACGCACCCGGCGAGGCGCCCUCCAGCCAGCUGCCCUGUCCUCCCCGGCCGCUCUAUCCUUCCCCAUCCUGCUCCAUCUUCUUCCAUCCUUCCCUGUCCUGCUCCCUCCUCCUCGUUCUGCCUGGUUCUCCCCGGCCAGCCAACACCCCCACCAAUCCUUCCCUUUCUUCUCCCGUCCUCCUGGGCUACCCAGUCCAACCACCCCAUCUUCUUCCAUCCUCCCCAACCUCCCCUAUCCUGCUGCCUCCUCUCCAGUCCCACCACCCUGUCCUGCUCCGUCCUCCCCGUCCUUCCUCAUCCUCCCCCACCCUGCCCUGUCCUGCCCUGGUCCCACCACCCCGUCCUGCUCCGUCCUCCCCGUCCUUCCUCAUCCUCAUCCUCCCCCACCCUGCCCUGUCCUGCCCUGAUACCACCACCCCGUCCUGCUCCGUCCUCCCCGUCCUUCCUCAUCUCCCCCCAUCUUCCCCCACCCUGCCCUGUCCUGCCCGGUCCCACCACCCCGUCCUGCUCCGUCCUCCCCCAUCCCCCCCAUCUUCCCCCACCCUGCCCUGUCCUGCCCCGGUCCAACCACCCCGUCUUCUCCCGUCCUCCCCAUCCUUCCCUAUCCUGCCUCGUCCUCCCCGGUCCCACCACCCCGUCCUGCUCCGCCCCGAGCGCCCGUCCCCGCAGACCGCACAGCUCAGGCAGACCCCAGAACGGAACUCCGGAGGUUCCCGGGUUUUUAAAAAAAACCAACCGCACUCGCACGGACUCGAGAACGCUGACCACUCAGCAGGUGACAGCAGCCAGCUCCGCGGCGCCGCCGGGUGA